GCCUAACACAUGCAAGUUCGAGCGCCCCGCAAGGGGAGCGGCAGACGGGUGAGUAACGCGUGGGAAUCUACCCUUUUCUACGGAAUAACGCAGGGAAACUUGUGCUAAUACCGUAUGAGCCCUUCGGGGGAAAGAUUUAUCGGGAAAGGAUGAGCCCGCGUUGGAUUAGCUAGUUGGUGGGGUAAAGGCCUACCAAGGCGACGAUCCAUAGCUGGUCUGAGAGGAUGAUCAGCCACAUUGGGACUGAGACACGGCCCAAACUCCUACGGGAGGCAGCAGUGGGGAAUAUUGGACAAUGGGCGCAAGCCUGAUCCAGCCAUGCCGCGUGAGUGAUGAAGGCCCUAGGGUUGUAAAGCUCUUUCACCGGUGAAGAUAAUGACGGUAACCGGAGAAGAAGCCCCGGCUAACUUCGUGCCAGCAGCCGCGGUAAUACGAAGGGGGCUAGCGUUGUUCGGAAUUACUGGGCGUAAAGCGCACGUAGGCGGACAUUUAAGUUAGGGGUGAAAUCCCAGAGCUCAACUCUGGAACUGCCUUUGAUACUGGGUGUCUAGAGUAUGGAAGAGGUGAGUGGAAUUCCGAGUGUAGAGGUGAAAUUCGUAGAUAUUCGGAGGAACACCAGUGGCGAAGGCGGCUCACUGGUCCAUUACUGACGCUGAGGUGCGAAAGCGUGGGG
This 673-nucleotide ribosomal RNA is filed under the name uncultured Alphaproteobacteria bacterium. RNAcentral's name for it is "bacterial SSU rRNA". It matches the Rfam family "Bacterial small subunit ribosomal RNA", at positions 46 to 766 of the family's 1533-position model. The record is from RNAcentral. Lineage: Bacteria; Pseudomonadati; Pseudomonadota; Alphaproteobacteria.